CCUGGCUCAGAUUGAACGCUGGCGGCAUGCCUUACACAUGCAAGUCGAACGGCAGCGCGGACUUCGGUCUGGCGGCGAGUGGCGAACGGGUGAGUAAUACAUCGGAACGUACCCUGUUGUGGGGGAUAACUAGUCGAAAGAUUAGCUAAUACCGCAUACGACCUGAGGGCGAAAGUGGGGGACCGCAAGGCCUCACGCAGCAGGAGCGGCCGAUGUCUGAUUAGCUAGUUGGUGGGGUAAAGGCCCACCAAGGCGACGAUCAGUAGCUGGUCUGAGAGGACGAUCAGCCACACUGGGACUGAGACACGGCCCAGACUCCUACGGGAGGCAGCAGUGGGGAAUUUUGGACAAUGGGGGCAACCCUGAUCCAGCAAUGCCGCGUGUGUGAAGAAGGCCUUCGGGUUGUAAAGCACUUUUGUCCGGAAAGAAAUCGCGCUGGUUAAUACCUGGCGUGGAUGACGGUACCGGAAGAAUAAGCACCGGCUAACUACGUGCCAGCAGCCGCGGUAAUACGUAGGGGUGCGAGCGUUAAUCGGAAUUACUGGGCGUAAAGCGUGCGCAGGCGGUUU
Molecule: ribosomal RNA, 569 nt
Filed under: uncultured bacterium
Lineage: Bacteria
Description: bacterial SSU rRNA
Rfam family: Bacterial small subunit ribosomal RNA
Source: RNAcentral